UGUUAGUUGGUUUAUAGAAGUGAUAUCCAAAUGUUAAUUUAAGGAUACCCACAAGAUAAUUCUCAAACAAAUAUUGCUUAUUAGCACACAACCCCAAAUCUUAACAUGAUUAAGAUUUAUCUUUCUUUCCAACUACAUCUUAUGGAGUCAUGAAAUUUUGGAAGAUCUUCUAAUUGACAAUCAUAUUGUCUUAGAAGCAUAUAUCCUAUAUAUGGGUAAUUGAUAACGUCCAACGAACUAAAUCUUAUUCAAGUUCGUUCUUCUCCUAAUGGAGAAAUCCAUUAUCUUUUGA
RNAcentral lists this long non-coding RNA (292 nucleotides) under Malus domestica (apple). Its description in RNAcentral is "long non-coding RNA (MDOM_LNC020219)". The record is from RNAcentral. Lineage: Eukaryota; Viridiplantae; Streptophyta; Magnoliopsida; Rosales; Rosaceae.